Molecule: ribosomal RNA, 256 nt
Filed under: uncultured bacterium
Lineage: Bacteria
Description: partial 16S ribosomal RNA
Rfam family: Bacterial small subunit ribosomal RNA
Source: RNAcentral
UAAUACGGAGGUUGCGAGCGUUGUUCGGAAUGACUGGGCGUAAAGGGAGCGCAGCCGGUUCGAUUAGUCUGGAGUGAAAGCCCGGGGCUCAACCCCGGAGGGUCUCCGGAUACUGUCGAACUCGAGUACGGAAGAGGAGAGUGGAAUUCCAGGUGUAGCGGUGAAAUGCGUAGAUAUCUGGAGGAACACCGGUGGCGAAAGCGGCUCUCUGGUCCGAUACUGACGGUCAGGCUCGAAAGCGUGGGGAGCAAACGGG